CCAGAGAACUUUCCAGAGAUGGAUUGGUGCCUUUCGGGAACUCUGAGACAGGUGCUGCAUGGCUGUCGUCAGCUCGUGUUGUGAAAUGUUGGGUUAAGUCCCGCAACGAGCGCAACCCUUAUCCUUUGUUGCCAGCGGUUAGGCCGGGAACUCAAAGGAGACUGCCAGUGAUAAACUGGAGGAAGGUGGGAUGACGUCAAGUCAUCAUGGCCCUUACGAGUAGGGCUACACACGUGCUACAAUGGCGCAUACAAAGAGAAGCGACCUCGCGAGAGCAAGCGGACCUCAUAAAGUGCGUCGUAGUCCGGAUUGGAGUCUGCAACUCGACUCCAUGAAGUCGGAAUCGCUAGUAAUCGUGGAUCAGAAUGCCACGGUGAAUACGUUCCCGGGCCUUGUACACACCGCCCGUCACACCAUGGGAGUGGGUUGCAAAAGAAGUAGGUAGCUUAACCUUCGGGAGGGCGCUUACCACUUUGUGAUUCAUGACUGGGGUGAAGUCGUAACAAGGUAGGCGUAGUGCU
This 521-nucleotide ribosomal RNA is filed under the name uncultured bacterium. RNAcentral describes it as "bacterial SSU rRNA". It matches the Rfam family "Bacterial small subunit ribosomal RNA", at positions 988 to 1509 of the family's 1533-position model. The record is from RNAcentral.